RNAcentral lists this ribosomal RNA (915 nucleotides) under uncultured archaeon. RNAcentral's name for it is "bacterial SSU rRNA". It matches the Rfam family "Archaeal small subunit ribosomal RNA", at positions 1 to 923 of the family's 1478-position model. The record is from RNAcentral.
UUCCGGUUGAUCCCGCCGGACCUGACUGCUAUCGGAUUGAUACUAAGCCAUGCGAGUCAUUGUAGCAAUACAAGGCAGACGGCUCAGUAACGCGUAGUCAACCUAACCUAUGGACGGGAAUAACCUCGGGAAACUGAGAGUAAUGCCCGAUAGAACACUAUAUCUGGAAUGGUUUGUGUUCCAAAUGAUUUAUCGCCGUAGGAUGGGACUGCGGCCUAUCAGUUUGUUGGUGAGGUAAUGGCCCACCAAGACUAUUACAGGUACGGGCUCUGAGAGGAGUAGCCCGGAGAUGGGUACUGAGACACGGACCCAGGCCCUAUGGGGCGCAGCAGGCGAGAAAACUUUGCAAUGUGCGAAAGCACGACAAGGUUAAUCCGAGUGGUUUCUGCUAAAGGAACCUUUUGUCGGUCCUAGAAACACCGAUGAAUAAGGGGUGGGCAAGUUCUGGUGUCAGCCGCCGCGGUAAAACCAGCACCUCAAGUGGUCAGGAUGAUUAUUGGGCCUAAAGCAUCCGUAGCCUGCUUUGUUAGUUUUCGGUUAAAUCUAUACGCUCAACGUAUAGGCUGCCGGGAAUACUGCAAAGCUAGGGAGUGGGAGAGGUAGACGGUACUCGGUAGGAAGGGGUAAAAUCCUUUGAUCUAUUGAUGACCACCUGUGGCGAAGGCGGUCUACCAGAACACGUCCGACGGUGAGGGAUGAAAGCUGGGGGAGCAAACCGGAUUAGAUACCCGGGUAGUCCCAGCCGUAAACCAUGCAAACUCAGUGAUGCAUUGGCUUGUGGCCAAUGCAGUGCUGCAGGGAAGCCGUUAAGUUUGCCGCCUGGGAAGUACGUACGCAAGUAUGAAACUUAAAGGAAUUGGCGGGGGAGCACCACAAGGGGUGAAGCCUGCGGUUCAAUUGGAGUCAACGCCGGGA